UGGGGAAUAUUGGUCAAUGGACGCAAGUCUGAACCAGCCAUGCCGCGUGCAGGAUGACGGCUCUAUGAGUUGUAAACUGCUUUUAUACGAGAAUAAGGGUAGAUACGUGUAUUUAUUUGAAUGUAUCGUAUGAAUAAGGAUCGGCUAACUACGUGCCAGCAGCCGCGGUAAUACGUAGGGAGCGAGCGUUGUCCGGAAUUAUUGGGUUUAAAGGGAGCGUAGGCGGGACUGCAAGUCAGAUGUGAAAAUUAUGGGCUCAACCCAUAACCUGCAUUUGAAACUGUGGUUCUUGAGUGUCGGAGAGGUAAUCGGAAUUCCGUGUGUAGCGGUGAAAUGCGUAGAUAUACGGAGGAACACCAGUGGCGAAGGCGGAUUACUGGACGAUAACUGACGCUGAGGCGCGAAAGCGUGGGGAGCAAACA
Molecule: ribosomal RNA, 422 nt
Filed under: uncultured bacterium
Lineage: Bacteria
Description: bacterial SSU rRNA
Rfam family: Bacterial small subunit ribosomal RNA
Source: RNAcentral